UACAGAGGGGGCAAGCGUUAUUCGGAAUUAUUGGGCGUAAAGGGCGCGUAGGCGGCCUUGCACGUGGCGGGUGAAAUCCCUCGGCUUAACCGAGGAACUGCCUGCCAGACUGCAAGGCUCGAGACCGGGAGAGGUGAGUGGAAUUCCCAGUGUAGCGGUGAAAUGCGUAGAUAUUGGGAGGAACACCAGUGGCGAAGGCGGCUCACUGGACCGGAACUGACGCUGAGGCGCGAAAGCGUGGGGAGCAAACAGG
This 253-nucleotide ribosomal RNA is filed under the name uncultured bacterium. RNAcentral's name for it is "partial 16S ribosomal RNA". It matches the Rfam family "Bacterial small subunit ribosomal RNA", at positions 524 to 776 of the family's 1533-position model. The record is from RNAcentral.